This 423-nucleotide ribosomal RNA is filed under the name Boana cinerascens group sp. ABGD cluster 20. Its description in RNAcentral is "partial large subunit ribosomal RNA". It matches the Rfam family "Bacterial large subunit ribosomal RNA", at positions 1834 to 2457 of the family's 2925-position model. The record is from RNAcentral. Lineage: Eukaryota; Metazoa; Chordata; Amphibia; Anura; Hylidae.
CUCGAACUAUCAUGAGAGGUACAGCCUGCCCAGUGACCCAAUGUUCAACGGCCGCGGUAUCCUAACCGUGCGAAGGUAGCGUAAUCACUUGUUCUUUAAAUGAGGACUAGUAUGAAUGGCAUCACGAGGGUUAUACUGUCUCCUUUUUCCAAUCAGUGAAACUAAUCUCCUCGUGAAGAAGCGAGGAUUAUUUUAUAAGACGAGAAGACCCUAUGGAGCUUUAAACUAACCAGCAUUUGCUAUAUUGUAUAAUUUUUCAGAAAUAUAAAAAACAGCUUAGCUCUUUGACUAUAAGUUUUCGAUUGGGGUGAUCACGGAACAAAAAAUAACUUCCGUGCCGAAAGGACUAUUCCUGAGCCAAAAGUGACAACCUUAAGCACUAAAAAAUUAACGCUUAUUGACCCAACAAUUUGAUCAACGAAC